Non-coding RNA from Taeniopygia guttata (zebra finch), 82 nucleotides. Lineage: Eukaryota; Metazoa; Chordata; Aves; Passeriformes; Estrildidae. The record is from Rfam.
GUCCUUGUGUUAAGGUGCAUCUAGUGCAGUUAGUGAUGUAGCGUAGAAUCUACUGCCCUAAAUGCUCCUUCUGGCACAAGCU